GCUACUAGCUGGAUGCUAGGCUAGGCCUCAUCACAAGUACUCACUGAACUUGACCUCUUGGCUGAGUUUGUGGUGUGGUAUUUUUAGAGAUGUUCAUGCACCUAUCAGACAAAUAUGGCUUAAAAAUCGGGUUUAUUGUUUUAGUGAAUCCUCAUGAGGUUUGUUACAGAUUUAAGGCAGUCCCAUUGAGAUUGAAAUCUCUUUUUCAAGAGAGACCUGGCCAAGGAAGCAGUCAACAGAACAACAAAACAACACAACACAGUCAAAUCCCAACAGUCAUCUUACAGCGCCACCUCCUGGCUCCAGAAAACCAACAUGGCUCCGGAAAAUGAUGGACUCAGGGCUGUAAGUUACGGUGGCUGGGAAGCAAGCGGCAACCUCCGGUCUAAAAAUAU
Notolabrus celidotus (New Zealand spotty) is the source of this 395-nucleotide long non-coding RNA. RefSeq lists it as uncharacterized. The transcript has 3 exons. The record is from RefSeq and is a predicted model, not a curated record. NCBI's taxonomy places the organism in Eukaryota, Metazoa, Chordata, Actinopteri, Labriformes, Labridae.